RNAcentral lists this microRNA (21 nucleotides) under Glycine max (soybean). Its description in RNAcentral is "gma-miR5042-3p". Lineage: Eukaryota; Viridiplantae; Streptophyta; Magnoliopsida; Fabales; Fabaceae. The record is from miRBase by way of RNAcentral.
UGGGGCUUGAUCCAAGAUAGG